This 210-nucleotide unclassified non-coding RNA is filed under the name uncultured fungus. RNAcentral describes it as "partial contains 18S rRNA, ITS1, 5.8S rRNA, ITS2 and 28S rRNA". Lineage: Eukaryota; Fungi. The record is from RNAcentral.
AAGGAUCAUUACCUUUCAAUGCAGAAGAGUUGAGAUGGUUGAGUAUCUCGCCUCUCAAUUCUCGCUGUAUUUUACCCUUGUUUUUCUCAUACUAUUAUUUCCUCGGCAGGCUCGCCUGCCGGGUGAAACAACUUCAAACCUGUUUAAUUUUCAAUCAGCGUCUGAACAAAUUAAUAAUUACAACUUUCAACAACGGAUCUCUUGGUUCUG